This 83-nucleotide transfer RNA is filed under the name Canis lupus familiaris (dog). It matches the Rfam family "tRNA". From Rfam's summary of the family: Transfer RNA (tRNA) molecules are approximately 80 nucleotides in length. Their secondary structure includes four short double-helical elements and three loops (D, anti-codon, and T loops). Lineage: Eukaryota; Metazoa; Chordata; Mammalia; Carnivora; Canidae. RNAcentral also lists the same sequence under 1 other name. The record is from Rfam by way of RNAcentral.
GCCUGGGUGGCUCAGUGGCUGAGCAUCUGCCUUUGGCUCAGGUUGUGAUCCUGGGGCCCUGGGAUCGAGUCCCACUUCGGGCU